This 734-nucleotide non-coding RNA is filed under the name Pleurocryptella fimbriata. The record is from RNAcentral. Lineage: Eukaryota; Metazoa; Arthropoda; Malacostraca; Isopoda; Bopyridae.
AAAGUUUAAUCCUGGCUUGCAGGUUUAGUUUAAGAUAUUUUACAUGGAAUACUUGCAGAGAUUUCACGUCAAUAAGUCAUAAAGCUCGGCUUUUAACCCCCAGUAAAUAAAUUUAGGGAUUUAGUUAAGCUAGCUCUAGUAUUCGGCUGAUAAAACAAGUGCCAGCAAUCGCGGUUAGACUUGGAGCUUGAAACUAUAAUAUCUAAGGAUCCUUUAAAUUCUCACUGAGAUUAGAGGUGAAAUUCUAAAUCUUAAGCGAUAACUAAGUACUUUCCUCCCUCCCAAGGCUAAAACCAGGAUUAGAUACCCUGUUAUUCUCGGGUUUGUAUCUUACGGGUAGUAAUUAAUAUAAUAUAAAACCCAAAGGAUUUGGCGGCUGCUCAUCUUACCAGAGGAAUCUGUCCCAUAAUAGAUAGUACACUUAAAAUCUCACCCGAGCUAAUGUUUGUAUACCUCCGUCUAAGUGCUUUCUACAGAGUCCACUGCUUUUUGUCUACGGUAAUGUCAGGUCAAGGUGCAGCUAAUGCUUGGGGAUCAGAUGGAUGACAUUUCGUAAACUAGUGGAGUUGUCGUGUAACUGAUAAUACAAAAAGGAUUUGGUAGUAAUAAGAUAUUUAAUAAGGGCUUAUGAAUUAGCUCUGAGUAGUGCACAUAUCGCCCGUCACUCUCGUAUCGCGAGAUAAGUCGUAACAGAGUAAAAAUACCGGAAGGUGUUUUUUGCUUACUAAGGUUAG